GGAUGCGAUCAUACCAGCACUAAAGCACCGGAUCCCAUCAGUACUCUGAAGUUAAGCGUGCUUGGGCGAGAGUAGUACUAGGAUGGGUGACCUCCUGGGAAGUCCUCGUGUUGCAUUCC
RNAcentral lists this ribosomal RNA (119 nucleotides) under Triticum aestivum (bread wheat). The record is from RNAcentral. Lineage: Eukaryota; Viridiplantae; Streptophyta; Magnoliopsida; Poales; Poaceae.